Molecule: long non-coding RNA, 2470 nt
Organism: Polyodon spathula (Mississippi paddlefish)
Lineage: Eukaryota; Metazoa; Chordata; Actinopteri; Acipenseriformes; Polyodontidae
Exons: 3
Source: RefSeq, a predicted model, not a curated record
UAGUUUACCUGUACAGAACUUCAGGAAGGAACUGCCUCUUAUAUUAUAGCAUAGCUAAACUUUUUGGUCGAAUUCGGAAAAAUUGUUGUAAAGCCUAGGAAUAGAAUUGAGUGUUCAGCUAUUCCUGAAGCACAAGCACUGGAAAUGAUGUCAUUUUUGCAGUGCACCAUUGUAUACCCUCAGACGAUUGGUUGGAUUGAAGUGCUUUGACCAGGCAGACCUACCACAAAAGAGCGUGCAAUCAGUGUGUUAGAUCAUAAUGGAAGGUCACAGAAAACAAAACCAGGGGCCACAGAUGGUAGCUGAGGAUGGGCAUAUUCAAAACUGAGGGGAGAAGGAGCUUCACUGAAAGGGUGGUGAACCAUUGAAACAGGCUGCCGGACAGAGUUGUUGAAGCAGAGACUAUCGGAUAUUGUAUAACACUCUCUGUGACCAUAAUAAAACGUUUAGCUAGCAGCCUGGAUGAAGGGCAAUCAGUUUAGCCACAGAUUCCCGGAGGGUUCAUUUCCCCUACUAACUUGUUUAGGGUUUUGUUUUUGUUUUUCCUAAUGGACCAUGCUUGCAUCAAAACGAGCAAGCAUAGGUGGGCUGAAUGAAUUUUUCUUGUUCUUGAAUUUGUUGUGUUCUUAUGAUGUUUGUAUUUUAUGGUUAAGACACCUAAGUAGCUGAGCUAUUAAGAGCUGCACAGCAUCUUGCAAACCACUUGUCCAAUUUUGAUAAAACUGUACAUUAGCAUUUGUUAUGACAUGCUAUUAUAAAUGCUGAGAAUGUUGGCUAUGAUGAUGUAAGGACCUUGCAAAAGGGAUCUGCCUCAGGUAAUGACAAAAACACUCCUGACAUCAGCACCUCCUUGGAUGGAUGUAAAAACCUUUUUUGCAAGCCAUUCCCACUAUAGUAAUGGAACUACAGCCAUGACACUUGUUGGGUGGCAUGCAUUUUCCUGCUGGGCAUUGCUUGAAGGAACAGUUUUGCCAUCUAUUUAUUCACAGUGGCAUAGACAAAGAGGCAAUAGUUCAAUUGUAAUAUUAGCUUAUCUUGGCAAAUCCAUAUUGUACUUACACCAUCAUUCAUGUAUAUAUAAAAUGACAAACAUUUUUAAAACUUUAAAAGCAUGAAAACAAAACAUAAUUUAAUACUAUUAAUAUUAAAUGGCAUUUGUGUAACUACAUGUGUAAUUUCUCCUAGAGAAGCCCCCUUUUUGUAUCACUUGAGCCCGCUUCUUACAGUGGACCCAUAUUAUUCCUUCUUAAUAUAUUAACUCUUCUUUAUCUUCAGACACGUCCUUCCGGUGGAAUAUUCCUUUCUUCAGAUUUGAUGAAAUAGAGCUAUACUAUUUUACACUAUUCUGUCAAAUCUGACUCUACUACAUACACUUUCAAUGUUGUUACAAUCUGCCCCAAUACCAUCAGCUUCCAUUAAUUAAAACUAAUUAACAACAGCAUAUUCAGUACGUUGACAUUUAUAUGGAGACAAUUUUUAAAGUAAAUAUAAUCACUAAUAACUUUGCUUUCUUUAAGCUGAAGUCUAAAAACAUGUUGUGUAAAGUUAUGUAUAACGCCCCGUGUUAACACGUGGUAUCCUAGAUAGGGCUACUCAGAUAGCAUGCCAUUAUCUGAUUUAUUUAUUUUUAUCUGACACACUGUUGAAAGCUAUAGGUUAUUUUAAACAACAUAGCACGAAAAACAUAAAUUAUUCAAUACCAGCUUGUUUUAAUCAUUUAUCAUUAACUUUAUAAUUUUAUAGCCAUCUCCCGAUUUUAUUAGAUCCUUACUUUAAUGUAAGUAUAGCCUUAGGUUCUCCGUCUCUUUUUAUAACUGAACUGUUUGCCUUAGACCUAUAAAUUGACUGGUAUAGUCUAUAGGAUUACAUUUAUGUCAUGAUUUCUCGUGACGUUAUCAUUGUUUAUCCUAUAUUAAAAAAAAAAAAAAAAAUUGAUAAUGACUAACCCCAGUUUCAUGCCAGACUGGAUACACUUUGUUACUGUUUUCAUAGAUGCAAUGAAGCAGAAUUUGAAAAGGCAAAUAUUUUUAUUCACAUGCGAACCACGCGAUUCUGUUUACAAAGAGUUAAAAGGCGGAAAAUCGAACGGAUCUGAAUAGGUUUCCAUGUCAAACACUUCAAUUCUCCAUAGUAACUCUGAUCUUAACUCGGAAACUUUAUUAAACCGCGAUGGAGGAUUGAUAAAGGAGAAUUUCUAUCAGCUUUUUUAUUGCGGAGACUGGGCUAGAUGACAGAUUUAAAUUGCUCCUUUAAUUAAAGCAAUGCUUUAAAGGAAAUUACAGUCUGAAUGGUGUCCCAGAAAUGGGGUCUGUGACUGUUGCCUAGAAACUUUAUCAAUCCGUUUCAAAUUUAUUCCAGAUCACAGUUUUGAGAUAAAGUUUAAUAAAAAUCCUCUCCCCAAUGAAAUCCGGCCCUUUCAGACCAACCAGCGACAAUGAAACCGAACUGUGGAGCAAACCUUAUGCUUAAC